AUCUCUCAGGGCCAGGCCGCAGCCCAGUGGCUGGAAUACGGGACUGGGACAAUCACAGUGCUUCAGGUUGAAAAUAUACGAAGAAUGAAUCUACCUGUAGUGAACUAACUUCUUCCUUUUUCCAGUAGCAAAUUCCGGAAUCUCCAAGGAAGGCUUGGGGUUCAAAUUCCUAUUGUGGGAGCAGAUGUGUUCAUCAGAGUGCUUGCUGAGAUACCAAGCCCAGGAGAAGUGUGAAGGCCAGUGACACAGAUGCUGCCACCCCUUCUUCAACAUAUCAGUUGUUUUAAAAGUCUUAUCUCCAAAUUUCCCAUUUCAGGGCAGACCUGUCCCUGUCUAGCUUCUGCCCACUACCCUCAGUUCGGUGGCAUUAGAGUUUCUGAUUACCAUCAAAGAUGUUGGCACAGGUUCAGGGCCAAAUGCUGCCUGGAAGAACCUUCUCCAUCCACGGACAUACAGUCCUCCAAGGCAGUAGAAGACAAUAUCUGAAGAAGUGGCAUCACGAGCAGCAGAGAUGACUUUGGGAUUUUCUGACCCUCAGUGAGAGAGAAACUUCAAAGAUAGAUAUGAGACUGGUUUCUGCUGACUUGCUGGUGUCUGUAGAAGGAGUAAAGCUAUUCCAGUAAUAAUCAAUUCAGCAGGAAAGUCCUCAUUCAGAAGUUCAACACUGUGCUCUAAAAACCGAAUGAAAGCUGAGCAUUCCCUGGUUAUCUUUGAGCUGACUUCAGAGACACACAACAGCUGAAGUGUCAGCUGGGUUAGCUGAAUUUUCCAGAAAAUGGGAUGAUACAGAAGGC
RNAcentral lists this long non-coding RNA (794 nucleotides) under Fukomys damarensis (Damara mole-rat). RNAcentral's name for it is "lncRNA (ENSFDAG00000031986.1)". The record is from RNAcentral. Lineage: Eukaryota; Metazoa; Chordata; Mammalia; Rodentia; Bathyergidae.